This 242-nucleotide unclassified non-coding RNA is filed under the name Hevea brasiliensis (rubber tree). Lineage: Eukaryota; Viridiplantae; Streptophyta; Magnoliopsida; Malpighiales; Euphorbiaceae. The record is from RNAcentral.
CAUCUCCGACAGCGUGCCGUGCCAUGCCAGCGCAGCCCGCGCGCCGGAGAACCGUCCGGCCGAAUAGCUGGCAAUGGCCGCGGGCCGCCAGAACCAUUCCUCCAGAAAAUGAUCGGUGAGAUUCUUCAGGCCCGGCUGAAGUCCCCAGUUGUAUUCGCCCGUGACGAACACGAAGCCGUCGGCGGCGAUGAUCUUCUGUCCAAGCUCCUCCAGUGCCGCAGGCACUUCGCCCUUCGGAUAUU